This 283-nucleotide ribosomal RNA is filed under the name uncultured Pseudomonas sp. RNAcentral describes it as "partial 16S ribosomal RNA". It matches the Rfam family "Bacterial small subunit ribosomal RNA", at positions 1097 to 1382 of the family's 1533-position model. Lineage: Bacteria; Pseudomonadati; Pseudomonadota; Gammaproteobacteria; Pseudomonadales; Pseudomonadaceae. The record is from RNAcentral.
CGCAACCCUUGUCCUUAGUUACCAGCACGUUAUGUGGGCACUCUAAGGAGACUGCCGGUGCAAACCGGAGGAAGUGGGGAUGACGUCAAGUCAUCAUGGCCCUUACGGCCUGGGCUACACACGUGCUACAAUGGUCGGUACAAAGGGUUGCCAAGCCGCGAGGUGGAGCUAAUCCCAUAAAACCGAUCGUAGUCCGGAUCGCAGUCUGCAACUCGACUGCGUGAAGUCGGAAUCGCUAGUAAUCGUGAAUCAGAAUGUCACGGUGAAUACGUUCCCGGGCCUU